GAGGCACCGGUGGAGGCAGGGACUGAGCAGGAGGUGCCGGCGGGUACGGGGACCGAGCAGGAGGCGUCGGCGAAGACUGUGCCAUUGGCGACUGCGGCGCCGGCUACGGUCCAGAAGAAGUGGAACCUCCCCGGGAUGCCAGAUCUGGACGCCGAGGUCAUCGCACUCUCGCCGGGGACGCUGCCGGCCACGAACCACGCGGCACUCGCUCGCCGGCGCCAUCCUGCUCCCGCCCUCCUCCUCCCAAGCAAAUGUUACUAUCGCCUGACAUCUUGUACCCCGCUGUUACUUCCACACCAGUGUUGCAGUCUCUGAAUAGUGGGUGGCACUGUACGUACAUGUGCUUGUAAUUUGAAUGUACAUGUUAGCUCCGGCAGACAGGCAAGUCACGUAGACUCUCCGGCAAGCAGGCAGGUCAGGUCACGUAGAAUCGAACCUUGAUAUCCACUGGUGCACCGCAUGUCAGAAGAUUAAUUAAAUGG
Panicum virgatum (switchgrass) is the source of this 482-nucleotide long non-coding RNA. RefSeq lists it as uncharacterized. The record is from RefSeq and is a predicted model, not a curated record. The transcript is spliced from 4 exons. NCBI's taxonomy places the organism in Eukaryota, Viridiplantae, Streptophyta, Magnoliopsida, Poales, Poaceae.